RNAcentral lists this ribosomal RNA (372 nucleotides) under uncultured organism. Its description in RNAcentral is "bacterial SSU rRNA". It matches the Rfam family "Bacterial small subunit ribosomal RNA", at positions 526 to 896 of the family's 1533-position model. The record is from RNAcentral.
CGUAGGUGGCAAGCGUUGUCCGGAAUUAUUGGGCGUAAAGCGCGCGCAGGCGGUCCUUUAAGUCUGAUGUGAAAGCCCACGGCUCAACCGUGGAGGGUCAUUGGAAACUGGGGGACUUGAGUGCAGAAGAGGAGAGCGGAAUUCCACGUGUAGCGGUGAAAUGCGUAGAGAUGUGGAGGAACACCAGUGGCGAAGGCGGCUCUCUGGUCUGUAACUGACGCUGAGGCGCGAAAGCGUGGGGAGCAAACAGGAUUAGAUACCCUGGUAGUCCACGCCGUAAACGAUGAGUGCUAAGUGUUAGGGGGUUUCCGCCCCUUAGUGCUGCAGCAAACGCAUUAAGCACUCCGCCUGGGGAGUACGGCCGCAAGGCUG